GAUGAACGCUGGCGGCGUGCCUAAUACAUGCAAGUCGAGCGAACAGACGAGGAGCUUGCUCCUCUGACGUUAGCGGCGGACGGGUGAGUAACACGUGGAUAACCUACCUAUAAGACUGGGAUAACUUCGGGAAACAGGAGAUAAUACCGGAUAAUAUAUUGAACCGCAUGGUUCAAUAGUGAAAGACGGUUUUGCUGUCACUUAUAGAUGGAUCCGCGCCGCAUUAGCUAGUUGGUAAGGUAACGGCUUACCAAGGCAACGAUGCGUAGCCGACCUGAGAGGGUGAUCGGCCACACUGGAACUGAGACACGGUCCAGACUCCUACGGGAGGCAGCAGUAGGGAAUCUUCCGCAAUGGGCGAAAGCCUGACGGAGCAACGCCGCGUGAGUGAUGAAGGUCUUCGGAUCGUAAAACUCUGUUAUUAGGGAAGAACAAAUGUGUAAGUAACUAUGCACGUCUUGACGGUACCUAAUCAGAAAGCCACGGCUAACUACGUG
RNAcentral lists this ribosomal RNA (497 nucleotides) under uncultured bacterium. RNAcentral's name for it is "partial 16S ribosomal RNA". It matches the Rfam family "Bacterial small subunit ribosomal RNA", at positions 28 to 507 of the family's 1533-position model. The record is from RNAcentral.